Small nucleolar RNA from Spermophilus dauricus (Daurian ground squirrel), 102 nucleotides. NCBI's taxonomy places the organism in Eukaryota, Metazoa, Chordata, Mammalia, Rodentia, Sciuridae. The record is from Ensembl.
GAUGUCUGGUUAUGAGAAUGUCUCCCACUCAUGUUCAAGUUUCCUGAUCAUGAGACGAUUCCACUGAUACUAUCAUGAGUCCUACUGAUCAGGCCCGACAUC